GCCUACGGGGCGCAGCAGUGGGGGAUAUUGCACAAUGGGGGAAACCCUGAUGCAGCGACGCCGCGUGAGUGAAGAAGUAUUUCGGUACGUAAAGCUCUAUCAGCAGGGAAGAAUAAUGACGGUACCUGACUAAGAAGCCCCGGCUAACUACGUGCCAGCAGCCGCGGUAAUACGUAGGGGGCAAGCGUUAUCCGGAAUUACUGGGUGUAAAGGGAGCGUAGACGGCUGUGCAAGUCUGGAGUGAAAGGCGGGGGCCCAACCCCCGGACUGCUCUGGAAACUGUAUGGCU
RNAcentral lists this ribosomal RNA (289 nucleotides) under uncultured bacterium. Its description in RNAcentral is "partial 16S ribosomal RNA". It matches the Rfam family "Bacterial small subunit ribosomal RNA", at positions 337 to 642 of the family's 1533-position model. The record is from RNAcentral.